This 497-nucleotide ribosomal RNA is filed under the name uncultured bacterium. RNAcentral describes it as "partial 16S ribosomal RNA". It matches the Rfam family "Bacterial small subunit ribosomal RNA", at positions 28 to 507 of the family's 1533-position model. The record is from RNAcentral.
GAUGAACGCUGGCGGCGUGCCUAAUACAUGCAAGUCGAGCGAACAGACGAGGAGCUUGCUCCUCUGACGUUAGCGGCGGACGGGUGAGUAACACGUGGAUAACCUACCUAUAAGACUGGGAUAACUUCGGGAAACCGGAGCUAAUACCGGAUAAUAUAUUGAACCGCAUGGUUCAAUAGUGAAAGACGGUUUUGCUGUCACUUAUAGAUGGAUCCGCGCCGCAUUAGCUAGUUGGUAAGGUAACGGCUUACCAAGGCAACGAUGCGUAGCCGACCUGAGAGGAUGAUCGGCCACACUGGAACUGAGACACGGUCCAGACUCCUACGGGAGGCAGCAGUAGGGAAUCUUCCGCAAUGGGCGCAAGCCUGACGGAGCAACGCCGCGUGAGUGAUGAAGGUCUUCGGAUCGUAAAGCUCUGUUAUUAGGGAAGAACAAAUGUGUAAGUAACUAUGCACGUCUUGACGGUACCUAAUCAGAAAGCCACGGCUAACUACGUG